GAUGAACGCUGGCGGCGUGCCUAAUACAUGCAAGUCGAGCGAACGGACGAGAAGCUUGCUUCUCUGAUGUUAGCGGCGGACGGGUGAGUAACACGUGGAUAACCUACCUAUAAGACUGGGAUAACUUCGGGAAACCGUAGCUAAUACCGGAUAAUAUUUUGAACCGCAUGGUUCAAAAGUGAAAGACGGUCUUGCUGUCACUUAUAGAUGUAUCCGCGUUGCUUUAGCUAGUUGGUAAGGUAACGGCUUACCAAGGCAACGAUGAAUAGCCGACCUGAGAGGGUGAUCGGCCACACGGGAACUGGGACACGCUCCAGACUCCUACGGGAGGAAGCAGAAGGGAAUCUUCGGCAAAGGGGGAAGGCCUGACGGGGAACGGCGGCGUGGGUGAUGAAGGUCUCCGGAUCGUAAAACUCUGUUAUUAGGGAAGAACAUAUGUGUAAGUAACUGUGCACAUCUUGACGGUACCUAAUCAGAAAGCCACGGCUAACUACGUG
RNAcentral lists this ribosomal RNA (497 nucleotides) under uncultured bacterium. Its description in RNAcentral is "partial 16S ribosomal RNA". It matches the Rfam family "Bacterial small subunit ribosomal RNA", at positions 28 to 507 of the family's 1533-position model. The record is from RNAcentral.